CUUUCCAUUUUGUUUCAGGUGGAUGCACUGAAGAUGCCACUGUGUUAAUCAUGGAGUUAAAGUGGAAGACUGCAUCUUGCCUGUAUCAGCACAGUGAUUGGAUUUGCAAGACUAUCCAGGACCUUGCAUGAGCACAGUUCUAGGUCUCUUCCAACCCAAACCAUUCUGUGGUUUUACUUUCCCUCUCCAUCACUCUGCUGUCCUUUCUUUCUCUACCAGAAGUGACACACCUAUUUCUGCAGGUAUCUACAGUUCCAAACCAGUCUCUGGACCUCAGGUAACUCUCAGUUUAUGCAAGAGGCCCACUGCUGUGCUGUCUGUCUGCAGAGUGCCAGUAAAAUUGUCGACAACCCUGAAAGUGCAGUGCCCACAUUCCCAGGGCCAGUUCCCUCUGCCUCACAUAAGUAUGCUGUGUCAAACCAGGUAAGCAGGUAAAUAUUAAAAAUUUAGAAAUUUAGCACAUGAGCAAAGGUGCCAACUGGCAAGAAUCCUCAGAGCAAUAAGAUGAAACAUUUUGAGUUACAGAACAAAAUGUCUGUGCUGGGGUACUGAAAUACAUGUAUUUAAUGUGUUGUUACUGAGGUUUGGUGGCAAAACAGAAUGAAAGCUAUUUAAACAAAUCCUUGCUUCAUGUAAUGUUGCUGUAGUCCAAGUCAUUGCCCAGCAUAUCAUGAAAGACAAUAUUAUCCAGCUUUUGAAUUGGUUCAAUACCAAUUACUUUUCUGCAUCAAAUAUUAAGAUGCAUUUUUCAAAAACAAUUGGUUUUGCUUAGACAUUAGGGAAAAUAAAGUUAGCAGACAUCAGAACUUUGUCGUGGGAAAUUUGCUGCAAAGCAGGUACAAGCAUAAUAAAAGUAAUUGUAGGUGAGUGCAGAUAAUUUAG
Long non-coding RNA from Corvus hawaiiensis (hawaiian crow), 882 nucleotides. RefSeq lists it as uncharacterized. Lineage: Eukaryota; Metazoa; Chordata; Aves; Passeriformes; Corvidae. The transcript has 3 exons. The record is from RefSeq and is a predicted model, not a curated record.